GAUGAACGCUGGCGGCGUGCCUAAUACAUGCAAGUAGAACGCUGAAGGAAGGAGCUUGCUCUUUCCGGAUGAGUUGCGAACGGGUGAGUAACGCGUAGGUAACCUGCCUGGUAGCGGGGGAUAACUAUUGGAAACGAUAGCUAAUACCGCAUAACAGUAGAUGUUGCAUGAUAUCUACUUAAAAGGUGCAAUUGCACCACUACCAGAUGGACCUGCGUUGUAUUAGCUAGUUGGUGAGGUAACGGCUCACCAAGGCGACGAUACAUAGCCGACCUGAGAGGGGGAUCGGCCACACUGGGACUGAGACACGGCCCAGACUCCUACGGGAGGCAGCAGUAGGGAAUCUUCGGCAAUGGACGGAAGGCUGAACGAGCAAAGCCGCGGGAGUGAAGAAGGUUUUCGAAUCGUAAAGCUCUGUUGUAAGAGAAGAACGAGUGUGAGAGUGGAAAGUUCACACUGUGACGGUAUCUUACCAGAAAGGGACGGCUAACUACGUG
This 497-nucleotide ribosomal RNA is filed under the name uncultured bacterium. Its description in RNAcentral is "partial 16S ribosomal RNA". It matches the Rfam family "Bacterial small subunit ribosomal RNA", at positions 28 to 507 of the family's 1533-position model. The record is from RNAcentral.